Molecule: non-coding RNA, 112 nt
Organism: Acanthosepion pharaonis
Lineage: Eukaryota; Metazoa; Mollusca; Cephalopoda; Sepiida; Sepiidae
Source: the annotation of a GenBank genome assembly
AUGGUCAUGUCAUGUUGAAAAACCAGUUCCUGUAUGAUCCUCAAAGUUAAGCAACAUUGAGACUGGUCAGUACCUAAAUGGAUGACCUCUUGGGAAUACCAUGUGCUGUAAG